UCAAAUUCAGAAGUCAGUUUGACAUUUAACUACUUUUUUUUUUUUGCUUACAAGACAUUUAACUACUUAUGAUUGUAUUUUUCAAUUCUUUUCUAUUUUCCAUUCAAAAUAAAAAUAGUUUUCAGUUGUCGAUGGACGUAUAUCUAUAUAAAUAUAUUUUGUCAAGUUUCCAAACCAACUGUAAAUGUUCUUCCUACAACAAUAAUAUUUGAAAUUUUUUAGUUAACAAUACAAAAGAGAAACUUAGCCCGUUUUGCAAAACAGGUGAAAAAUGGUCAAAAAGUGUGUUUGGUAACGUUUUUGAAAUAGAAAUUUAAUACAAUGGGAUAUAGGUAAUCAAGUACCUUAAACUUUAUCGAGGUUAACACAUUGCAUCUUAAAUUUUUUUUUCUUGACAUCAGGCAUCUCAAACUUCCUUUUUGCUUGUACUGUUAGUUUUUCUGUUAAAAAUACAUAACGGUAUGAUCAGGUGCCUCGCACGUACUCAUUAAAUGAUGAUAAAUUAGGUAAUUUUACUAUUCUCAAUUUAAAAAUUAUGAUUUUAUUUGAGGAAUUUUUUCAUUGAAAUCCAUUCUCCUUCUUCUUCUUCUUCUUCUUCUUCCUUUCACAUCCAUGUUUGUUCUCUUUCAUUCCUCAUCUUUUUCACUCCCCACGUGCUCUUUCAAACCCAAAACCCCUUCUUUUUGUUUUUUUUCUUCUUCUUCCAAUCUACCACUCUCAAUAACACCAACAAUCUCAAAGCCAUGAGGAAAUGAAGUUCUCUCUCUCUCUCUCUCCUCUUUUGUCUAUGUCCUCUUUUUUUUAUGUACUCUCUCUCUCUCUCUCUCUGUAACUCUCUUUGUCUCUUUCUCUCUCUAACUUUUUUUUCCCCUCAAAUUUAUUCCUCCACAUUUCUUAAGUUCUAAACAGAGCCUAAAAAUUAUAAAAUUACUUAAUCUAUCCUCAUUUGAUGAGCACAUGUGGGGUACUUGAUCAUUCCGUUAUGCAUUUUUAACAGAAGAACCAACGGUGCAAGCAAAACGGAAGUUUGGGAUACAAAAUAUCAGAAAAAAAAAAUUUAAGGUGCAAUGUAUCAAACUCGACAAAGUUUGAGGUGCUCGGUUGCUAAUAUCCCUAAAACAAUUGAAAGUAUUUUUGAAAAUAUAGGUAAAUUUAAAAAAUAUAUAUAUAUUUUACAUGUAUUUGAAAAAUUUUAAAAACAAAUAUAUUAUAGAGAAUAUAUUAUAUUUAUCAUUUUUAAAUUUAAAAAAUAUUUAUUUACAUAAAUAUACUGCAUUUAAUAUAUAUCAUAUAUAAAUAUGGAUAAUCUUUACUGUAUUCAAUAAUAACUUCUUCUUUUUUGUCAAAUUGUAUUUUAAUACCUCUAUUUUUAUUGAACUUUUAUUUAAGAGGUUCUAAAAACAAUUUCGACAAUUGUUAUCUCUAGGAGUGAUCCCCUUCAAUUUAUUUUUCCUUUUAAAAAACUUUAAUAGCCUUAUUUUUCUUUCUUAUAAUAUUUACAGUGCUACUUUCAUUUUUCAAAAAGGUUGUGUUAAGUUCAUUUUUUAUUAAAUUAGUUUCCAUAGAAAAGUUAGUUUAUUUUCUUCUGGUUAUUCAUAAUAUUUAAUUUGAUGGGCUAGUUUUAAUUUAGUUGACAUAUUUAAUAAUUAAUUUAUUAUUUAAGUAUUUUUAUCUUUUGUUAAUUUUAUUUCUUCAUUUCAUUUUUUUUUUUAAGAUUUUGUUAAUUCUAUAAUUUUAUUUUGCCUUAAAAAGCAUGUUUAUUUUCUAUUAACAAUUGUUUAUGUGUUCUUAUUUACGAUAAUAAUUUAAACUUUAACAAAAAAAUAAUACUACAGGUAUCAAAUUUGUUUAUUAAAAUUUUGAUAAUCAAUUAUAUAUUAAUUUUUUAAUAAUAUUAAAUUGAUAUUUUUUUAUAUUUAUGGAAAGAUAAAGCACUUAAAAAAUACUAAAUCAUAAAUAUUAAAAUUUUAAUAAAUAAAUUUAAUCAAUUUAAAUUUAUCCUUUACAAAAAAGAAUUUAUAGUUUAAGUAUAUAGUCCCCCUUCCUGAAAUCUUUUUUUUAAGAUCCGACACCGUUUUCUAUUACUGAAAACUAUUCUGUCAAAUAAUAUGAUCAUGUGAUACUCAAGUGAUCAAUUAGUUAUUUUAUUUUUAUUUUUCUUUUAAUUUUUGGAAUUGGUUUUAGGGGAAAAAAUAAAAAUAAUAAAAUAAAAUAAAAUAAAAUAAGCACCGUUUCUUCUCAACUCCUUCUCCGUCUUCUUCUUCUCCACCGGUUGAAUGUCGCCGUUCGAAUCCAACUCCCUCAGAAAAUUCGGUAUUAUCGAAGGCUAUACGAACCCCACAACCACCGUUACUUUUGAGAGUGACAUGCAAAAGCUUGUAGUAAUCUUGUCGUCUUUCCCAGCCGUGCCCCAAUUUCAGCAAAGCAAAGCGUGUUCAAGCAGACGAAGAUAGCUUAGCAGAUAGAUGUUUCUUGUCUAAGGGAAGGAUUCAAUCGUCCAGUCCAUAAUGAGAGAUUCAAGUGGUUUGAAUAUCUACAUCUACGCCUGAUGUGAACCCCAACCUAGUUUGAAUGGGAAUCCAUCCUCAACUUUAUUAUUUUCAAAUCUUGAAAGAUUUAUUUAUUUAUUUAUUUAUUUCAAUUUACAUUUUUCAUGUUCUAUUUUCACCUAUAUGCUGUUUGGAUAUGGAAUUGGAAUACUUCUUUUGCAAUCUGAAGACCCUGCGAACAUGCCCAAGAAAAACGAAAUUAAUCCAUCAUUCCAAAAGGAAGAAGACGGAGAAGGAGGAGGAGCAGAUAAGAAGGUUUUGGUGUUUUUGAUUUUUAUUUUUUAUUUUUUCCUCAAAACAAUUCAAAAAAAUUAGAAGAAAAAUAAAAGAAAAUCAAAAUCAAUUAAUUGAUACGCGAGUAGCACAUGAUCAUCGUUUUAACGAAAUCUGUGUGGUUUUCAGGAAAUUGAUAAUAGAAACUAGCAAUUGUCAAAAAAAAAUUUAUAGCCUCCUAAAUCAAAAAAAAAUAUAUAUAUAUAUAUAAGAUAUCAAAAGUACAUCUUGGAUUUUUUUUUUUUCUAUAUCAAUAUAUAUUUGGAUAAUUGCACAUUUUUACUUUCUAAAAUCACUUUGAUAUUAUUUUGGUUCAGAGGCUGCUCAAUUUUUUUCUCAACGAUGUCUCUUAUUUUUAAAAUCAUUAUAAAUUGAUCAAAAUCUGUUAAAAUUAAUAAAAAUAAUAAAAAUUGCACUUAAAUAUUUUGUAUUUUUAUUUGUAUUUGCCCUAUAUAUAAAAAUUAUUUGAUCACCUUUUCUAUAGGUUGUUACGUUUUUCUUUUUUCUUUUUGAAUAUUAUAAUAUGUACAUAUUAUUAUUUAAUUUUAUAUUUUGUAAAAGUAUAUUUCAUAUUAUUAUUUAGUUUCCCAACUACCCCUACUUCAAAUUUAUGAUUUAUAUUCCUAUAUUUUUCAUCCAAUAUAGAACUCAUAGGACGGACACAAAAAAAAAAAAAAAAAAAAAAAACAAAACAAAAAACAAAAAACAAAAAAAACAAAAAAACAGAGAACCCCAAAAUCAAAUCCCUCGUACACUCUUCCAAUUCCAGCUUUAAACCGCAAAAUCAUAUAUAAAUGCUCUAGAAUAUUGGUUAAUGUAUGGAAUCAAAAAUUAGAUUUAAAAAAAAAAAAUUCAGUUUUUUCACCAUCCAAACAUAUUUUACCUUGUUUUUCUCAUCAUCCAAACAAGUACACAAUUUCUAAAUCUUCAUCAUAAAUCGAACAUCAAACCCUCCCAAACACAAGAUGCACAAACUUCUUACCUUCUUGCCCACUUUCAAAAUCCAUUUUCUACUAUUUAAAAUUUCUUUUAGAUGUAAAUGGAAACAAAAAUCAUGUAUGCAAAUAAUUUUCUUCCUCAUAAUAGUGCAAAUACGUAGUUAUUGGAUCCAUGCCCUUUCCCUCACCACUGUUACUAUUUUACCCUCUAUCAUCUUAAUAGUCUUCUUCUAAUUUUUAGAAUCCUGGUUUAAAAAAAAAAAAAAAAAAAAAUUGGAAACAAAGAAGAAAGGGAAAUCCAGAAAUGGAAGGAGAAGGAAUGAGUUUGGGACUUGGGAAAAAACGAGAUCCAAGAAGAAGAGAAGAAGAAACUAGAAAGAGGAAGAGGGACUAUAUAGUGACUAUACAAUAGCUGCAGUACAAUAAAGAUAUUUUAACACAUGCAACUGAACUGUGAGACAGAAAUACUUGGCAUUGAUCAUUGUAUUAAUAUAUAAAGAUAUCUAUAGUUAUCAACAGCUAUCAUA
Long non-coding RNA from Ziziphus jujuba (common jujube), 4287 nucleotides. RefSeq lists it as uncharacterized. Lineage: Eukaryota; Viridiplantae; Streptophyta; Magnoliopsida; Rosales; Rhamnaceae. The transcript is spliced from 2 exons. The record is from RefSeq and is a predicted model, not a curated record.